This 83-nucleotide transfer RNA is filed under the name Felis catus (domestic cat). It matches the Rfam family "tRNA". Rfam says of the family: Transfer RNA (tRNA) molecules are approximately 80 nucleotides in length. Their secondary structure includes four short double-helical elements and three loops (D, anti-codon, and T loops). Further hydrogen bonds mediate the characteristic L-shaped molecular structure. tRNAs have two regions of fundamental functional importance: the anti-codon, which is responsible for specific mRNA codon recognition, and the 3' end, to which the tRNAs corresponding amino acid is attached (by aminoacyl-tRNA synthetases). tRNAs cope with the degeneracy of the genetic code in two manners: having more than one tRNA (with a specific anti-codon) for a particular amino acid; and 'wobble' base-pairing, i.e. permitting non-standard base-pairing at the 3rd anti-codon position. Lineage: Eukaryota; Metazoa; Chordata; Mammalia; Carnivora; Felidae. The record is from Rfam by way of RNAcentral.
GCCUGGGUGGCUCAGUCGGUUAAGCGUCUGACUUCGGCUCAGGUCAUGAUCUCAGUUUGUGGGUUCGAGCCCUGCGUCGGGCU